UACGUAGGCAGCGAGCGUUGUUCGGAAUUACUGGGCGUAAAGAGUGUGUAGGCGGCGCUCUAAGUUCGGUGUGAAAUCUCUCGGCUUAACUGGGAGGGUGCGCCGGAAACUGGAGUGCUCGAACGUGGGAGAGGAAAGCGGAAUUCCUGGUGUAGCGGUGAAAUGCGUAGAUAUCAGGAGGAACACCCAUGGCGAAGGCAGCUAACUGGGCAUUAUCUGACGCUGAGGCGCGAAAGCGUGGGUAGCAAACAGG
RNAcentral lists this ribosomal RNA (253 nucleotides) under uncultured bacterium. Its description in RNAcentral is "partial 16S ribosomal RNA". It matches the Rfam family "Bacterial small subunit ribosomal RNA", at positions 524 to 776 of the family's 1533-position model. The record is from RNAcentral.